GCAAACUUGGUCAUUUAGAGGAAGUAAAAGUCGUAACAAGGUUUCCGUAGGUGAACCUGCGGAAGGAUCAUUAUUGAAUAAUUUGCCUUGAUAGGUUGUAGCUGGCCUUUCGAGGCAUGUGCACGCCUGUCUUGACUCUAUUCAUCCACCUGUGCACCUUUUGUAGUUCUUUACUUUCUGAGGUUGAAAGCUUUUAUUCAGUUGAAACACACUGGAUUUGAGGAUCGCUUAUUACUGGCUUUCCUCUAACUGGCCUACUCUGAAAGAGAGAACUAUGUACUUUAUCACAAACCAUAUAGCAUGUUGCCAGAAUGUAAUCAAUGGGCCUUUGUGCCUAUAAAACCUUAUACAACUUUCAGCAACGGAUCUCUUGGCUCUCGCAUCGAUGAAGAACGCAGC
Molecule: unclassified non-coding RNA, 399 nt
Filed under: uncultured fungus
Lineage: Eukaryota; Fungi
Description: partial contains small subunit ribosomal RNA, internal transcribed spacer 1, and 5.8S ribosomal RNA
Rfam family: Eukaryotic small subunit ribosomal RNA (bases 1-73)
Source: RNAcentral